This 370-nucleotide ribosomal RNA is filed under the name uncultured organism. Its description in RNAcentral is "partial 16S ribosomal RNA". It matches the Rfam family "Bacterial small subunit ribosomal RNA", at positions 527 to 896 of the family's 1533-position model. The record is from RNAcentral.
GUAGGGUGCAAGCGUUAUCCGGAUUUAUUGGGCGUAAAGGGUUUCGUAGGCUGUUUGGUAAGUAGCGGGUUAAAGCCCCAGGCUCAACUUGGGAAAAGCUCGUUAAACUACCAGACUAGAAAGUUGUCGGGGAAGCUGGAAUUCUGCAUGUAGGGGUGAAAUCCGUUGAUAUGCAGAAGAACACCGAGGGCGAAGGCAGGCUUCUAGGCAAAUUUUUGACGCUAAGGAACGAAAGCUAGGGUAGCGAAUGGGAUUAGAGACCCCAGUAGUCCUAGCCGUAAACGAUGUCCGCUAGUUUCCCGACCUUAAAGUUGGGGGACGUAAGCUAACGCGUUAAGCGGACCGCCUGGGAAUUACGGCCGCAAGGCUA